Melospiza melodia melodia is the source of this 309-nucleotide long non-coding RNA. RefSeq lists it as uncharacterized. Lineage: Eukaryota; Metazoa; Chordata; Aves; Passeriformes; Passerellidae. The record is from RefSeq and is a predicted model, not a curated record. The transcript has 3 exons.
UGUAAGCACUUGAGUGUACUGCAAAUAUAAGGCUGUCCUCUAGUAGUUAAAAAGUCCGUUGAUUUCAGUAAAUGCAGGUAUUGUAAGUAACAGGUAACUUUUAUAUUGCUCUUUUUUGUCAAGGGGACCUUAGAGUGUUUUCCAAAGAAGCCUGGUGAUGCAUGGAGUGGUUUUGAAAGGAGGCACAGAGGAGAAGCUCACUAGGACACAGAUCUGCUCCUCGGCCUGGUGGAUCCAAACCCUGCUUAGGAACUCAGCGUCCUGAGAAAGGGCCUGCAAACUGCUUUGUGCACAUGCCUUGAGUCAAAC